RNAcentral lists this long non-coding RNA (636 nucleotides) under Homo sapiens (human). RNAcentral's name for it is "non-protein coding lnc-C16orf58-6:4". Lineage: Eukaryota; Metazoa; Chordata; Mammalia; Primates; Hominidae. The record is from RNAcentral.
AUUUUUGCUUUCUUAUGUGACUCUCUUGGAAAAUGUGCAGUAAGAAGUUCCUCAAAAAUAAAAUUUUUACCCUUCAAAGGAAAAAAAAGAAUAAAAUUCCCCAACUUAACAAUUAUUAAUGUGCAUAUGAAUCAUAUGGGAAUAUUAUUAAUGUGUCAGAGGUUGAAGAAGUGGCCAGAAAAAGAAAAGUAUUUUGAUGGCAGGCUGGAGAACAUCAUGAGAGUAAACUUUAGGCCUGUUGACUGUCAUUUUGGCAAUGUAUUGGGCCCUGGCCAAAGUGCUUGGAUGCAACGUGGGGCCAAUCAAUAAAUCCAUCCCCCAUGCUUUUCCUGGCCAUGAGGUAAUCGGCAGCCUAGUUCAUGUCUUGAUGGGAACCUUUGCCAUGUGGAAGGAUCACAUCUCAGGUUUCUUGACAACUGGAUGACUUUUGAGAACAAAGAUCUAGGACAGAUCUAUUCUUGGAUUGUGGACAGGCAUCAGCCUACUAACAUCAUAUGGAACAGGUCUCCUUUACAGAAAGGGGCUUGGAUAAGGAGGAAAGACCAUCAGAAGAAAAGAUAAGACACUGUCUUCUCAUUCCAGUAAGAGCCACAUGCAAGGCAAGGUAAGGCCUUUGGGCUGUUCCUAUGGAGUCUG